This 303-nucleotide ribosomal RNA is filed under the name Triticum aestivum (bread wheat). Its description in RNAcentral is "partial small subunit ribosomal RNA". Lineage: Eukaryota; Viridiplantae; Streptophyta; Magnoliopsida; Poales; Poaceae. The record is from RNAcentral.
AUGCGGCUGGGGCAGGGGAGGAGCUUGGGUGUGUUGGAGGAGGUCCUGCUGGAGGUGGUCGCCGGCGACGUUUGGGAGUCCCGGCGAGCCGCCGCUCGUCGCCUGCAGCGACGGGAACGGAGGAGAGGUGAUGCUCGGGCAGAGGAGGCCCUGUGCACGGGCGCGCUGGACCACGGGCGCAAGAAAGCUUCAGAUCGGGAGCUCCUCUGCCGAUCGGAUUUGGAGGAGGAGGCACCGGCGAGGUGGAUCGAAUGGGGUGCUGGUUGCGGGAGCUCGAGGAUUGAGGAAAGAGGAGGCCGAUAG